GACGAACGCUGGCGGCGUGCUUAACACAUGCAAGUCGAACGGAAAGGCCCUGCGUUUGUGGGGUUCUCGAGUGGCGAACGGGUGAGUAACACGUGAGUAACCUGCUCUUGACUUUGGGAUAACUUCAGGAAACUGGGGCUACUACCGUAUAGGAUCUCCUGCUGCAUGGUGGGGGUUGGAAAGUUUCGGCUGGUGGGGAUGGAUGCGCGGCUUAUCGGCUUGUUGGUUGGGUAGUGGCUUACCCAGGCUUUGGCGGGUAGCCGGCCUGAGAGGGUGACCGGCCACAUUGGGACUGAGAUACGGCCCAGACUGCUACGGGAGGCAGCAGUGGGGAAUAUUGCACAAUGGGCGGAAGCCUGAUGCAGAAACGCCGCGUGCGGGAUGACGGCCUUCGGGUUGUAAACCGCUUUCGCCUGUGACGCAGCGUGAGUGACGGUAAUGGGUAAAGAAGCACCGGCUAACUACGUG
This 468-nucleotide ribosomal RNA is filed under the name uncultured bacterium. Its description in RNAcentral is "partial 16S ribosomal RNA". It matches the Rfam family "Bacterial small subunit ribosomal RNA", at positions 28 to 507 of the family's 1533-position model. The record is from RNAcentral.